This 460-nucleotide ribosomal RNA is filed under the name uncultured bacterium. Its description in RNAcentral is "partial 16S ribosomal RNA". It matches the Rfam family "Bacterial small subunit ribosomal RNA", at positions 338 to 795 of the family's 1533-position model. The record is from RNAcentral.
CCUACGGGAUGCAGCAGUGAGGAAUAUUGGUCAAUGGACGAAAGUCUGAACCAGCCAAGUAGCGUGAAGGAUGACUGCCCUAUGGGUUGUAAACUUCUUUUAUACGGGAAUAAAACGCGGCACGUGUGCAUUUUUGCAUGUACUUUAUGAAUAAGGACUGGCUAACUCCGUGCCAGCAGCCGCGGUAAUACGGAGGAUCCGGGCGUUAUCCGGAUUUAUUGGGUUUAAAGGGAGCGUAGACGGGAUGUUAAGUCAGGUGUGAAAUGCUGCGGCUCAACCAUAGAACUGCAGUUGAUACUGGCAGGCUUGAGUGCAGGUGAGGUAGGCGGAAUUCGUGGGGUAGCGGUGAAAUGCUUAGAUAUCACGAAGAACCCCGAUUGCGAAGGCAGCUUACUAAACUGUGACUGACAUUGAAGCUCGAAAGUGUGGGUAUCAAACAGGAUUAGAUACCCUUGUAGUC